AGAGUUUGAUCCUGGCUCAGGAUGAACGCUGGCGGCGUGCCUAAUACAUGCAAGUCGAACGAGGCCCUUUGUAUUCGUACGAAGGUGUCCUAGUGGCGAACGGGUGAGUAACACGUAGGUGACCUACCCCGAAGUGGGGGACAACCCCGGGGAACCGGGGCUAAUACCCCAUGACCUCCAGGGAGUUAGAGGACCCUGGAGAGAAGGAUGCUAUGCAUUCGCUUUGGGAGGGGCCUGCGGCCCAUCAGCUAGUUGGUAAGGUAACGGCCUACCAAGGCUACGACGGGUAGGGGGCCUGAGAGGGCGGUCCCCCACACUGGCACUGAAACACGGGCCAGACACCUACGGGUGGCAGCAGUAGGGAAUAUUGCCCAAUGGACGAAAGUCUGAGGCAGCAACGCCGCGUGCGCGAUGAAGGCCUUCGGGUUGUAAAGCGCUUUUCUGGGGGAAGAGGAAGGACGGUACCCCAGGAAUAAGUCCCGGCUAACUACGUGCCAGCAGCCGCGGUAAAACGUAGGAGGCAAGCGUUAUCCGGAUUUACUGGGCGUAAAGCGCGUGUAGGCGGUUUGGUAAGUCGGACGUGAAGGUUCCCGGCUCAACUGGGAGAAGCCGUUCGAAACUACCAGACUAGAGGGCAAUAGAGGGAGGUGGAAUUCCAGGUGUAGCGGUGAAAUGCGUAGAUAUCUGGAGGAACACAGUGGCGAAGCGGCCUCCUGGAUUGUCCCUGACGCUCAGACGCGAAAGCUAGGGUAGCAAACGGGAUUAGAAACCCCGGUAGUCCUAGCCGUAAACGAUGCAGACUUGGUGUUGGUGGUUUAAUCGCCAUCAGUGCCGUAGCUAACGCGGUAAGUCUGCCGCCUGGGGACUACGGCCGCAAGGCUAAAACUCAAAGGAAUUGACGGGGGCCCGCACAGCAGCGGAGCGUGUGGUUUAAUUCGAUGCACGCGAAGACCUUACCAAGCUUGACAUGUUGGAAGUAGCACCGGAAAGGAGCGACCUGUUGAGUCAGGAGCCAGCACAGUGCUGCAUGCUGUCGUCAGCUCGUGC
Molecule: ribosomal RNA, 1047 nt
Filed under: uncultured bacterium
Lineage: Bacteria
Description: bacterial SSU rRNA
Rfam family: Bacterial small subunit ribosomal RNA
Source: RNAcentral